UGUGGCAUAGCCCAGUGGCAGAGCCCAUGCCUAGCAUGCAUAAGGUCCUGGGUUCAAUCCCCAGUACCCCCA
Molecule: transfer RNA, 72 nt
Filed under: Camelus bactrianus (Bactrian camel)
Lineage: Eukaryota; Metazoa; Chordata; Mammalia; Artiodactyla; Camelidae
Also listed under: 2 other names
Rfam family: tRNA
About the family: Transfer RNA (tRNA) molecules are approximately 80 nucleotides in length.
Source: Rfam by way of RNAcentral